AWGGGACUARGACACGGCCCAUACUCCUACGGAGGCAGCAGUAGGGGAAUUUUUUCACAAUGGACGAAAGUSUGAUGGAGCAAUGCCGCGUGAACGAUGAAAGGUCUUAAUGGAUUGUAAAGUUCUUUUAUUUGGGGAGAAUUGYUAGCAAAGGAAAUGUUGCUAGUUUGACGGUACCAUUUGAAUAAGUAACGACUAACUAUGUGCCAGCAGUCGCGGUAAUACAUAGGUUGCAAGCGUUAUCCGGAUUUAUUGGGCGUAAAGCAAGCGCAGGCGGAUUAGAAAGUCUGGUGUUAAAAACAACUGCUUAACGGUUGUAUGCAUUGGAAACUUCUAGUCUAGAGUGUGGUAGAGAGUUCUGGAACUCCAUGUGGAGCGGUGGAAUGCGUAGAUAUAUGGAAGAACACCAGUUGCGAAGGCGAGAACUUAGGCCAUAACUGACGCUUAGGCUUGAAAGUGUGGGGAGCAAAUAGGAUUAGAUACCCUAGUAGUCCACACCGUAAACGAUGGAUGUUAGGUGUUGGGGUGAUCACCUCGGUGCCGAAGCUAACGCAUUAAACAUCCCGCCUGGGUAGUACAUUCGCAAGAAUGAAACUCAAACGGAAUUGACGGGGACCCGCACAAGUGGUGGAGCAUGUUGCUUAAUUCGACGGUACACGAAAAACCUUACCUAGAUUUGACAUCCUUGGCAAAGCUAUAGAAAUAUAGUGGAGGUUAACCGAGUGACAGGUGGUGCAUGGU
Molecule: ribosomal RNA, 741 nt
Filed under: uncultured bacterium
Lineage: Bacteria
Description: bacterial SSU rRNA
Source: RNAcentral